Molecule: ribosomal RNA, 241 nt
Filed under: uncultured bacterium
Lineage: Bacteria
Description: partial 16S ribosomal RNA
Rfam family: Bacterial small subunit ribosomal RNA
Source: RNAcentral
GACGAACGCUGGCGGCGUGCUUAACACAUGCAAGUCGAGCGGUAAGGCCCUUUCGGGGGUACGACGAGCGGCGAACGGGUGAGUAACACGUGGGUGGACCUGCCCUCCAGCGUCUGGGAUAAGCCUGGGAAACCGGGUCGUAAUACCGGAUAUGACUCCAUGACGCAUGUUGUGGGUGGAAAGCCUUGUGCGGCUGAGGAUGGGCCCGCGGCCGUAUCAGCUUGUUGGUGGGGUGAUGGCC